UGUUUAACCCCGGCAAGCAUUAUCGGCGCGCGUUUUGAUUAAACCCCGUCAAGACCAAACAGUUUUCUUUAAAUAUUUCUUCAUUAAAUUUUUUUUCCAACAGAAACCUUUUUUCACUACGGGGGGUUGCUCCAUAAGCCUUUCUCCAUUAAAUUAUUCCCUAUUGCUGCCUCCCGUAGGGGUCCCCCCUCCCCCCCCGCCCGGGGCGCGCCCCGGGCGGGGCGGGGGCACGGGGGGACUCCUACGGGAGGCAGCAGUAGGGAAUCUUCCACAAUGGACGAGUCUGAUGGAGCAACGCCGCGUGAGUGAAGAAGGGUUUCGGCUCGUCUCUGUUGUUAGAAGAACAUAUCUGAGAGUAACUGUUCAGGUAUGACGGUAUAACCAGAGCACGAUUCCGG
Molecule: ribosomal RNA, 398 nt
Filed under: uncultured Lactobacillus sp.
Lineage: Bacteria; Bacillati; Bacillota; Bacilli; Lactobacillales; Lactobacillaceae
Description: partial 16S ribosomal RNA
Rfam family: Bacterial small subunit ribosomal RNA
Source: RNAcentral